Molecule: long non-coding RNA, 3557 nt
Organism: Oncorhynchus tshawytscha (Chinook salmon)
Lineage: Eukaryota; Metazoa; Chordata; Actinopteri; Salmoniformes; Salmonidae
Source: Ensembl
UUACUUGGCUCAUUGUGCUCUAGUGACUCCUUGUGGCGGGCCGGGCACCUGCAGGCUGACAUUAGAAGUCAGUUAAACGGUGUUUCCUCUGACACAUUGGUGCAUCUGGCCUCCGGGUUAAGUGGGUGGGUGUUAAGGAGCGUGGUUUGGCUGCUAAUGUUUCAGAGGACGCAUGACUCAACCUUUGCCUUUUUUUGUGAGAAAAAGGGGGGAAAACCAGAAUGUUUAUUUAUUAAUAGAUGGAUAGAUUGACAUAAUUAUUUAUAAAAUAUUUAUCCUCUUGGGGUUUCUAGGUUUGAUUUAUUGACAAUUGACACACUGAGUGGUUGUUAUUUUCCUGUGGAAGUUGAGUCUGUUAGAUGAGAAGAGGCUCUUUAUGGAGGUUGAGUCUGUUAGAUGAGAAGAGGUUCUUUAUGGAGGUUGAGUCUGUUAGAUGAGAAGAGGUUCUUUAUGGAGGUUGAGUCUGUUAGAUGAGAAGAGGUUCUUUAUGGACGUUGAGUCUGUUAGAUGAGAAGAGGUUCUUUAUGGAGGUUGAGUCUGUUAGAUGAGAAGAGGUUCUUUAUGGAGGUUGAGUCUGUUAGAUGAGAAGAGGUUCUUUAUGGAGGUUGAGUCUGUUAGAUGAGAAGAGUCCAAAGCGCUAUAAGUGGGGCAGGUCAUACUUGGAAGACAAUCCUAACAUCAACUGAAGUAAAAUUAGGGUCUCCAUAUAGCUGAGGUUCAGCAUUGUAGCACGCUUGAAAUGUGAAGGUAAUUUCAGAUUGAGCCGUCAUAAGUCACUUCAACGGUUAAAAGUUGGGUAAAAAUAAGUUGAUUCAACGUCAUCACGGUGAUUAUUUUGGUUGAAAUGAGGUGGAAACAAUGUUGAUACAACCAGUUUUGGCCCAGUGGAUGAAUGUUGUUUUAUGUGUAAUCAAAUCCAGGUUCUGUUUUGAAUAGCCUCCAACGUAAUACUGACCUUCUGUCGUACUGAAAGCAUCAUGCAUAAAGAAUAGGUAACUGGUUAUGGGCACCGAGGUAUUAUUAGUAUGUCCCAGUAGUGUCAUAGAGUUUAUAAUGAUGCUUUUUAUUGUUGUGUUUUCAAUGUCUUGAAGAAAGGUUUCUAGUCCUCAAAACAUUAUGGCAACAAGAUCCCUGAUUCUGAGUUGUAGCAGUUAGGAUACCUCCUUGUUCAACUUAUGCCUUAAACUAGAGAACUGGGAGGACCCCUCCAGCUCCUUAAUAAUGGUCUGUUCCCUGACUGAGGUCCUCUUAUGUGCCAUGGGGCUUGGUACAGUCCAAACCUGAGAUGGGUGUGCUGCAGUCUACUAUCUUCUGGUUAAUGUUGGUUUUGCACCAGAUCAGUGAAAUGAGGAUGUAGUUAUGAACUAAACUGUGUAAAAAAACAUUAGGAACAACUUCCUAAUAUUGAGUUGCACACCCUUUUCCCCCUCAAAACAGCUUCAAUUCGUCGAGGCACGGACUCUAAAGUUGUGGAAAGCGUUCCACAGGGAUGCUGGCCCAUGUUGACUCCAAUGCUUCCCACAGUUGUGUCAUGUUCGCUGGAUGUCCUUUGGGUGGUGGACCAUUCUUGAUACACAUGGGAAACUGUUGGGUGUGAAAAACCCAGAAGCGUUGCAGUUCUUGACACAAACCGGUGCCCCUGGCAGCUACUACCAUAUCCCCUUGAAAGGCACUUAAAUCAUUAGUCUUGCCUAUUUACCCUCUGAAUGGCACACAUACACAAUCCAUGUCUCAAUUGUCUCAAGGCUUAAAAAUCAUUCUUUAACCUCUCCUCCCCUUCAUCUACACUGACUGAAGUGGAUUUAUGAGGGAUCAUAGCUUUCACCUGGAUUCACCUGGUCAGAGCAGGUGUUCCUAAUGGUUUGUACACUCAGUUAUAUGUGAAAGAAAGAAUCCUGAAUAUCUUCUACCAUUUCCCCCUGUUUGACGGCAUCAGUGCAGAAGCAUUAGUAGUGAUAUGAAUAGGUGCCAUAAUGCACAUAUGACUAUUGCACUGUGAGUCGGUCUCAUAGCUGUGUCUGCUUCUGUGUGUGAUCUAAAUAUACUGCUGUGUAGUUCCCUGGUUAUCAGAUCUAUAGUGCUGGUUAUCAGAUCUAUAGUGCCCAUAUCGUUAGAGGGGAUUCUAUUUCAAUGAUAAUAUCACUAUAGUUCAUUCUAGAACCCAGGGGGAUAUUACAAAAGUCUAUUAUACUGUAUAAGCCAAUUAUACUGUAGGCGACAUAUUCUGGUGUCCCUGUGGACAUGUGUUGUCUUGUCAGUGCUAACGGUCAGUGUCUGUCUGUGUGUGUAGUGCCAAUGCUCUCUGCUGCGGAGCUGUCCUUGUGCAGAUGCUUUCUGGGAGGUUGGCAUGGAGACUUAUUCAUCAAACGUGCCAUAUAUUCCAAAGUCAUCUGCAUUCUGCAGUUUGUCCCAUGUAAUGUACUGUUGAAGUGCUCUACUUCCAACUGGAACUGUUUUGGGUGAGCGAUCUAUUUAGGAUCGCAAAAUGUCUAACUUUUCCAAAAUAACCAGGUUUUCCAGAAAUCUUGGUUGGAGGAUUCCCGGAUUUCUUGUUUAUUACUUUCGGAUUCCUUGACUCUUCCAACUAGUAUAUCAGGAGUUUGAGGAAAGUCACCAGAAUUUGGAGACCUGAGUUCUAUUUCAUUGUCAAUUACAAUGUGUAGUACCGGUGAGCACACUGUACUGCUUUAAACAUAAUCAGAAAAUGAUAUUUUUAGAUGACUGCCAACUCAUAGCUAACGCGUGAUGAUGUUCGUCGCAAUGAAAUAUGUUUCUAGUUUAGUUAUAUUUCUUACAUGUUAUGGAGGAUAGCUGGAUCUGUGUUGUUCUGGCUCUGGGAAUAACCUUUCCAUAAACUAGUCCUAGUCCUAUCCACAUUCUAGGGGCGGCAGGUAGCCUAGUGGUUAGAGCGUUGGACAAGUAACUGAAAGGUUGCAAGGUCAAAUCCCCGAGCUGACAAGGUAAAAAAAAGGCUGUCGUUCUGCCCCUGAACAAGGCAGUUAACUCACUGUUCCUAGGCCAUCAUUGAAAAUAAGAAUGUGUUCUUAACUGACUUGCCUAGUUAAAUAAAGAUAACAUGCUGUAUGGUGGAGCUGUGAGAUAUUCAGAAGUGUGUGUGUCAAAUGCAGGGGCCCCCAGGGGUGGUUAGCAGUGGAGGCUGGUGGGAGGAGCUAUAGGAAGACAGGCUCAUUGUAAUGGCUGGAAUGGAACCAUGUUUCACUCUGUUCCAUUGAUGUCAUUACAAUGAGCCUGUCCUCCUAUAGCUCCUCCCACCAGACUCCUCAGGUGGAAGUGACAUUAUGGCCUAGAUAAUAUAAUAUAUUAUAUUUUGAUAUUUUAUUUCUCCAAAUAUAUAUUAACAUCAGCAUUUGUUCACAUGCAUUUGUUCAUAUUCAAUCAUGGUUCCAUCGACAUAUAUUUUUUCCUCUGUGUGACUCUGAAAUAUAUCGUAUUAUAUACUUAAGAUAUUUAUUUCAAAUGAUUGUCUUGUCCUGUGUUCUCAAUCUAUUCUAAAAUAUAGCUAUAUCAAAGUAUUUAUGAAAUAUUUAAAGAAUAAA